CAAACGGUCCUUUUAAGGGCCAUUCACAAAGUAACGGAAGUCUCUU
Molecule: non-coding RNA, 46 nt
Organism: Octopus bimaculoides (California two-spot octopus)
Lineage: Eukaryota; Metazoa; Mollusca; Cephalopoda; Octopoda; Octopodidae
Source: Rfam